GUAGGUGGCAAGCGUUGUCGGAAUUAUUGGGCGUAAAGCGCGCGCAGGGCGGUCCUUUAAGUCUGAUGUGAAAGCCCACGGCUCAACCGUGGAGGGUCAUUGGAAACUGGGGGACUUGAGUACAGAAGAGGAAAGCGGAAUUCCACGUGUAGCGGUGAAAUGCGUAGAGAUGUGGAGGAACACCAGUGGCGAAGGCGGCUUUCUGGUCUGUAACCGACGCUGAGGCGCGAAAGCGUGGGGAGCAAACAGGAUUAGAUACCCUGGUAGUCCACGCCGUAAACGAUGAGUGCUAAGUGUUAGGGGGUUUCCGCCCCUUAGUGCUGCAGCUAACGCAUUAAGCACUCCGCCUGGGGAGUACGGCCGCAAGGCUG
Molecule: ribosomal RNA, 371 nt
Filed under: uncultured organism
Description: partial 16S ribosomal RNA
Rfam family: Bacterial small subunit ribosomal RNA
Source: RNAcentral